GGGGGCGUGGCGGAAUGGUAGACGCUACGGACUUAAAAUCCGUUGACCUUAAACGGUCGUGUGGGUUCAAGUCCCACCGCCCCCA
RNAcentral lists this transfer RNA (85 nucleotides) under Allocoleopsis franciscana PCC 7113. RNAcentral's name for it is "tRNA-Leu (TAA) (tRNA-Leu-TAA-1-1)". It matches the Rfam family "tRNA". From Rfam's summary of the family: Transfer RNA (tRNA) molecules are approximately 80 nucleotides in length. RNAcentral also lists the same sequence under 5 other names. Lineage: Bacteria; Bacillati; Cyanobacteriota; Cyanophyceae; Coleofasciculales; Coleofasciculaceae. The record is from Rfam by way of RNAcentral.